GGAGGAUUACCCAAGUCCGGCUGAAGGGAACGGUCUUGAAAACCGUUAGGCGUGUAAAAGCGUGCGUGGGUUCGAAUCCCACAUCCUCCU
Molecule: transfer RNA, 90 nt
Filed under: Streptococcus suis
Lineage: Bacteria; Bacillati; Bacillota; Bacilli; Lactobacillales; Streptococcaceae
Also listed under: 4 other names
Description: tRNA-Ser
Rfam family: tRNA
About the family: Transfer RNA (tRNA) molecules are approximately 80 nucleotides in length. Their secondary structure includes four short double-helical elements and three loops (D, anti-codon, and T loops).
Source: RNAcentral